Molecule: ribosomal RNA, 465 nt
Filed under: uncultured bacterium
Lineage: Bacteria
Description: partial 16S ribosomal RNA
Rfam family: Bacterial small subunit ribosomal RNA
Source: RNAcentral
GACGAACGCUGGCGGCGUGCUUAACACAUGCAAGUCGAACGGAAAGGCCCCCUUGUUUGGUGCUCGAGUGGCGAACGGGUGAGUAACACGUGAGUAACCUACCCUUGACUUUUGGAUAACUUCAGGAAACUGGGGCGAAUACCGGAUAGGAGCUCCGUCUGCAUGGUGAGGGUGGGAAAGUUUCGGCGGUUGGGGAUGGACUCUCGGCUUAUCAGCUUGUUGGUGGGGUAGUGGCUCACCAAGGCUUUGACGGGUAGCCCACCUGAGAGGGUGAACGGCCACAAUGGGCCUGAGAGACGGAGCAGAGUGGUACGGGAGGCAACAGUGGGGAGUAUUGCACAAUGGGGGGGCGCCUGAUGAGGAGGCGCCGCGGGCGGGAAGAAGGCCUUGGGGUUAUGAACCGAUUUAGCCUGUGACGAAGCGUGAGUGACGGUAAUGGGUAAAGAAGCACCGGCUAACUACGUG